This 748-nucleotide ribosomal RNA is filed under the name uncultured Ruminococcus sp. RNAcentral describes it as "bacterial SSU rRNA". It matches the Rfam family "Bacterial small subunit ribosomal RNA", at positions 28 to 776 of the family's 1533-position model. Lineage: Bacteria; Bacillati; Bacillota; Clostridia; Eubacteriales; Oscillospiraceae. The record is from RNAcentral.
GAUGAACGCUGGCGGCGUGCCUAACACAUGCAAGUCGAGCGAAGCACUUUGCUUAGAUUCUUCGGAUGAAGAGGAUUGUGACUGAGCGGCGGACGGGUGAGUAACGCGUGGGUAACCUGCCUCAUACAGGGGGAUAACAGUUAGACAUGACUGCUAAUACCGCAUAAGACCACAGCACCGCAUGGUGCGGGGGUAAAAACUCCGGUGGUAUGAGAUGGACCCGCGUCUGAUUAGCUAGUUGGUAAGGUAACGGCUUACCAAGGCGACGAUCAGUAGCCGACCUGAGAGGGUGACCGGCCACAUUGGGACUGAGACACGGCCCAAACUCCUACGGGAGGCAGCAGUGGGGAAUAUUGCACAAUGGGGGAAACCCUGAUGCAGCGACGCCGCGUGAGCGAAGAAGUAUUUCGGUAUGUAAAGCUCUAUCAGCAGGGAAGAAAAUGACGGUACCUGACUAAGAAGCACCGGCUAAAUACGUGCCAGCAGCCGCGGUAAUACGUAUGGUGCAAGCGUUAUCCGGAUUUACUGGGUGUAAAGGGAGCGUAGACGGAUGGGCAAGUCUGAUGUGAAAACCCGGGGCUCAACCCCGGGACUGCAUUGGAAACUGUUCAUCUAGAGUGCUGGAGAGGUAAGUGGAAUUCCUAGUGUAGCGGUGAAAUGCGUAGAUAUUAGGAGGAACGCCAGUGGCGAAGGCGGCUUACUGGACAGUAACUGACGUUGAGGCUCGAAAGCGUGGGGAGCAAACAGG